This 460-nucleotide ribosomal RNA is filed under the name uncultured bacterium. RNAcentral's name for it is "partial 16S ribosomal RNA". It matches the Rfam family "Bacterial small subunit ribosomal RNA", at positions 338 to 795 of the family's 1533-position model. The record is from RNAcentral.
CCUACGGGUGGCAGCAGUGAGGAAUAUUGGUCAAUGGGCGCGAGCCUGACCCAGCCAAGUAGCGUGAAGGAUGACUGCCCUACGGGUUGUAAACUUCUUUUAUAAAGGAAUAAAGUGAAGCACGUGUGCCUUUUUAUAUGUACUUUAUGAAUAAGGAUCGGCUAACUCCGUGCCAGCAGCCGCGGUAAUACGGAGGAUCCGAGCGUUAUCCGGAUUUAUUGGGUUUAAAGGGAGCGUAGAUGGGUUGUUAAGUCAGUUGUGAAAGUUUCGGGCUCAACACUAAAAUUGCAAUUGAUACUGGCAGCCUUGAGUAUAGGUGAGGUAGGCGGAAUUCGUGGUGUAGCGGUGAAAUGCUUAGAUAUCACGAAGAACACCGAUGGCGAAGGCAGCUUACUAAACUGCCACUGACAGUGAGGCUCGAAAGUGUGGGUAUCAAACAGGAUUAGAUACCCGAGUAGUC